Molecule: ribosomal RNA, 276 nt
Filed under: uncultured Planctomycetota bacterium
Lineage: Bacteria; Pseudomonadati; Planctomycetota
Description: uncultured planctomycete partial 16S ribosomal RNA
Rfam family: Bacterial small subunit ribosomal RNA
Source: RNAcentral
AAGCGGUGGAGCAUGUGGCUUAAUUCGAGGCUACGCGAAGAACCUUAUCCUGGGCUUGACAUGUCCGCAAGGGUGAAGACGUAGGGACCGGAAACGGCACCCGACAGGUAUCCAAUCCUGAGCUUCACACAGGUGCUGCAUGGCUGUCGUCAGCUCGUGUCGUGAGAUGUCGGGUUAAGUCCCAUAACGAGCGAAACCCCUGUCUCCAGUUGCCAGCGAGUCAAGUCGGGGACUCUGGAGAGACUGCCGGUGUCAAACCGGAGGAAGGUGGGGAUG